This 305-nucleotide ribosomal RNA is filed under the name uncultured bacterium. RNAcentral describes it as "bacterial SSU rRNA". It matches the Rfam family "Bacterial small subunit ribosomal RNA", at positions 29 to 361 of the family's 1533-position model. The record is from RNAcentral.
AACGAACGCUGGCGGCAUGCCUAACACAUGCAAGUCGAACGCGUGUAGCAAUACACGAGUGGCGGACGGGUGAGUAACGCGUGGGAACCUGCCCAAUGGUAGGGAAUAACUGCGGGAAACUGCAGCUAAUACCCUAUGCUCCCUACGGGGAAGAUUAUCGCCAUUGGAGGGGCCCGCGUCGGAUUAGCUAGUUGGCGGGGUAACGGGCCCACCAAGGCUACGAUCCGUAGCUGGUCUGAGAGGAUGAUCAGCCACACUGGGACUGAGAUACGGCCCAGACUCCUACGGGAGGCAGCAGUGGGGAA